RNAcentral lists this ribosomal RNA (465 nucleotides) under uncultured Klebsiella sp. RNAcentral's name for it is "bacterial SSU rRNA". It matches the Rfam family "Bacterial small subunit ribosomal RNA", at positions 338 to 795 of the family's 1533-position model. The record is from RNAcentral. Lineage: Bacteria; Pseudomonadati; Pseudomonadota; Gammaproteobacteria; Enterobacterales; Enterobacteriaceae.
CCUACGGGUGGCAGCAGUGGGGAAUAUUGCACAAUGGGCGCAAGCCUGAUGCAGCCAUGCCGCGUGUGUGAAGAAGGCCUUCGGGUUGUAAAGCACUUUCAGCGGGGAGGAAGGCGUUAAGGUUAAUAACCUUGUCGAUUGACGUUACCCGCAGAAGAAGCACCGGCUAACUCCGUGCCAGCAGCCGCGGUAAUACGGAGGGUGCAAGCGUUAAUCGGAAUUACUAGGCGUAAAGCGCACGCGGGCGGUCUGUCAAGUCGGAUGUGAAAUCCCCGGGCUCAACCUGGGAACUGCAUUCGAAACUGGCAGGCUAGAGUCUUGUAGAGGGGGGUAGAAUUCCAGGUGUAGCGGUGAAAUGCGUAGAGAUCUGGAGGAAUACCGGUGGCGAAGGCGGCCCCCUGGACAAAGACUGACGCUCAGGUGCGAAAGCGUGGGGAGCAAACAGGAUUAGAUACCCGAGUAGUC